This 76-nucleotide transfer RNA is filed under the name Flavobacteriaceae bacterium. RNAcentral's name for it is "tRNA-His". It matches the Rfam family "tRNA". Rfam says of the family: Transfer RNA (tRNA) molecules are approximately 80 nucleotides in length. Their secondary structure includes four short double-helical elements and three loops (D, anti-codon, and T loops). RNAcentral also lists the same sequence under 1 other name. Lineage: Bacteria; Pseudomonadati; Bacteroidota; Flavobacteriia; Flavobacteriales; Flavobacteriaceae. The record is from RNAcentral.
GGUGGUUGUAGCUCAGUUGGUUAGAGUAUCGGUUUGUGGAUCCGAGGGUCGUGGGUUCGAAUCCCACCUAUCACCC